CCGCUUUUAGCUCAAUAGGAAAGAGCGAUGGCCUUCUAAGCCGUAGGUUAUACGUUCAAAUCGUAUAAAGCGGA
RNAcentral lists this transfer RNA (74 nucleotides) under Candidatus Nasuia deltocephalincola. RNAcentral's name for it is "Candidatus Nasuia deltocephalinicola tRNA-Arg". It matches the Rfam family "tRNA". From Rfam's summary of the family: Transfer RNA (tRNA) molecules are approximately 80 nucleotides in length. Their secondary structure includes four short double-helical elements and three loops (D, anti-codon, and T loops). Further hydrogen bonds mediate the characteristic L-shaped molecular structure. tRNAs have two regions of fundamental functional importance: the anti-codon, which is responsible for specific mRNA codon recognition, and the 3' end, to which the tRNAs corresponding amino acid is attached (by aminoacyl-tRNA synthetases). tRNAs cope with the degeneracy of the genetic code in two manners: having more than one tRNA (with a specific anti-codon) for a particular amino acid; and 'wobble' base-pairing, i.e. permitting non-standard base-pairing at the 3rd anti-codon position. Lineage: Bacteria; Pseudomonadati; Pseudomonadota; Betaproteobacteria. The record is from RNAcentral.